RNAcentral lists this long non-coding RNA (2855 nucleotides) under Ricinus communis (castor bean). RNAcentral's name for it is "long non-coding RNA (RCOM_LNC000763)". The record is from RNAcentral. Lineage: Eukaryota; Viridiplantae; Streptophyta; Magnoliopsida; Malpighiales; Euphorbiaceae.
GAAAGGAAAACUUGCUUGAUUUUAUUCAAUAAACUUCUCCUUAUAUAGGAAGAAGUGUUCAUGCAAAAUGACAGAGAAGAGAAACCGUGGGAAUCUUAUCUCGAUUUCCCACUUACCAAAAGUAAGACCCAUAAUACUGACUGAUAUCUAAUAAUACAUGAACCGACAGUUUCACAUGCAUAUUAAGACAAAGUAUUAAUAAUGCUCCACUUAUAAAAGUAAAAGUAAUAAUGGCCAACAACUUUACAAUAAUGGCCGACAGCUUCAUAUGCUUCUUAAGACAAAAGACUCAAUAAUGGUGCUACUAUACCCAUGUGGGAAUAAUGCACCGAAAGAUGGAAUUGACAUCUCAUCUUUCUUUGUCUUGAUGUCUAGCACACACAACCACUAUCUUUUGGAUUAUUGAGGAGGAUACGUUCAUCAGUAGUCAGAAAAUACUGUCAUCAUCAUCCAUAGGCUGAGAGUCUUGCAUGAUGGCCUCUUUCUGUUUAUUGGUCAGGCUUGGAUCAUCCAGUGGGGUCGGAAGUAUAGGAAAGGUAAAAUGCUCAUUGAGUUGUCCAGUCCAUAGAUGUCCAUUGAAGGUGUAGACUAAUGGUGCAGAGACAUCAGUCGUCCUUAAUUAAUUUCUGAGUUGUAGGGCCCGCUUUAGAUUUUCUGUAACACCCCAACUCAAACUUUCCAUUGAAUAGCAAUAUAUAUAUAUAUAUAUAUAUAUAUAUAUAUAUAUAUAUAUAUAUAUAUAUAUAUAACUUUAUAAACAUAAUUUACUACUUAGUUACAAUAUACAUUCAUACAAUUUAAGUGGCAUGACAUACUUAAUAUAUAUAAGAAAUAUUUAUACAGUAGUUUAAUUCACACAAGUUCCCAAAAUGCCCCAAUGCUUUAGAUAACUCCUCUGGCCCACCUGAUAAUAUUGACUGAUGCAAAAAGAGCAAUGCACAGCUAAGGCUAUCUACAACUGCACUAACCUGAAAAAAAAAAUUGCUAAGGAAUGAGCUAGCGACUCAAUAAGUAUUUAAUUUACUAAACUAUAGUAUAUUAGGCUAGAAUUAUCAAAUCUUUAUCAAUACAGAAAAUUAUACCAACACUUAACUAACAAUNNNAAAUCAAUCAUUUCAGUUAUUCUCAUAAACAUAUAAUUUCAUCUCACGUAAUGCAAAUAAUCUCAAACUCAACCAAGUCAAAUAAUUCAAUUCCACAUUAUUUCUAUCAAAUUAGGAUCAGAUGACUCAUCCUUACAUUUCCUCACAUUUUUAAAUUUCAGUAACCACUUGACAAGACUAUCCGCCCGGCUCAGUCUUGCCAUCUCACAUACUCGGGUAGCUAUCCGCCCGGCUCAGAUUUCCCGAUCACACAAUAUCCAUACAAAAGUCAUCAAUCCUUAAUCACAAUCAUUUCACUUCACAACACAUCACAAUCAAUUCACUUCACAACACAUCACAAUCAAUUCACUUUGUAACAAGCCAAAAACAUAACUAAUAUCAACUCAGUCAACCAAGAAAUUAUCAAGUAAUCAAACAGCAGUCCCUACUCAAUAUACACAAAGUUUAGUCUAUUAAAUACUUACCAAAAGUUAUAGGAUAACAAAGUAAUCCUAUUCUUUUUCUCUUACCACUUCCUUGCCUUUGGAUGAACCUAUUCACAUAUUCAAUACAAAUACAAUUCAAUCACAAGGCAUAAAUAUAUAUAUAUAUAUAUAUAUAUAUAUAUAUAUAUAUAUAUAUAUAUAUAUAUAUUUACUAUCAAUAAAAUAUCACAUUUCAACAAAAUAACAUAUAUUCUAGAUAUUAAUAUGAUGCAUGAGAUGAAUGACAACAAAUCAACAUAUUUGUUGAUGAAGGCAGCUUGUAGGUACUGACUUAGAAAUUACACCAAAACUUAUGUACAAUUAAUAAAAAUCUCAUAUUUUUCAGAAUUACACUUCCAUUUUUAUAGAAACCAUAGCAGAAAGAAUCACCUCAAAAUCAUUGGUAUAGAAAUAGUUAUGGCAUUUUCUAUACAGCUGCUCAAAUUUCCAUCUAAACAGAACAGAAAAAAGUUUCCUAUUAAAUGACCAAUCAAACGAAUGAAUUUUCUGAUGAAACUCUCCAGAUAUAAAGUAACAUUCUAAAGUUUCUAUAGACACUAAUUUUACUCAAUUUGGACUUUUCUAGCUCAAGUUGUGAAACACAUAAUUAGCAACAAAUUUCUGAAUCCUAAGCCCGAUUUCUGCUUAAAACAGUUUCGGGCAGGCCAUAUUAAGUUCAACAUAUCUCAUGUUAUACUCAACCAAAAAUUAUGAAAUUUUUCAGACAUAUACUACAUAUAUAAAUGAACAACUUUCAUGUUUAACUCUCUGCUUGGUUCAGCCUCUAAAUGCCUCAAAAUGUCAGCACAAAAACCAGGUCACAUGCUGAACCAAAAACAGAGCAGCAGCAAAAUCGAACCUCAUAAGUUCCUACUCACUCAACAAUCUGCAAAACCAUUUUACAGAGAUAUUCUUGAGACAUAUACCUACAACUUUCAUGUUUGAAAAUUUUCGAGAUAAAGCCUCUAAGGUCACGAAAUCAUAAGUGAAAAAUCUGCCCAGAAAUUUCAGCUUCAAGAUCACAAGUAAAAGCAUGUUUACUCUUGAUUAAACAAUUCCAAAACACAUAAUCAUCAAUAAUUUCAUAUCAUUAACCCUAAUUUACAGCAAAAUCAAGCAAUUAAAAUUACUCACCUUUGUUUUCCUUGAUUAAGAAAGCCCAAAUCUUUCAAGCUUAAAAGAAGAAUUUGAUUUUCACUUACUAAAAGUUUUGUAGAGUUUGAUUUGGAAAAUCAAAGUUGAAGAAGGAAAGAAGAAAAAUGAGAGAGACAAAGAAGAAAAAGGAAAU